UGGGGAAUAUUGGACAAUGGGCGAAAGCCUGAUCCAGCCAUGCCGCGUGUGUGAAGAAGGUCUUCGGAUUGUAAAGCACUUUAAGUUGGGAGGAAGGGCAGUAAGCGAAUACCUUGCUGUCUUGACGUUACCGACAGAAUAAGCACCGGCCAACUCUGCGCCAGCAGCCGUGGUAAUACAGAGGGUGCAAGCGUUAAUCGGACUUACUGGGCGUAAAGCGCGCGUAGGUGGUUCGUUAAGUUGAAUGUGAAAGCCCCGGGCUCAACCUGGGAACUGCAUCCAAAACUGGCGAGCUAGAGUACGACAGAGGGUGGUGGAAUUUCCUGUGUAGCGGUGAAAUGCGUGGAUAUAGGGAGGAACACAAAUGGCGAAGGCGACCACCUGGGCUCAUACUAACACUGAGAUGCGAAAGCGUGGGGAGCAAACAGG
RNAcentral lists this ribosomal RNA (429 nucleotides) under Pseudomonadota bacterium. RNAcentral's name for it is "Proteobacteria bacterium partial 16S ribosomal RNA". It matches the Rfam family "Bacterial small subunit ribosomal RNA", at positions 355 to 776 of the family's 1533-position model. Lineage: Bacteria; Pseudomonadati; Pseudomonadota. The record is from RNAcentral.